This 98-nucleotide transfer RNA is filed under the name bacterium. RNAcentral's name for it is "tRNA-Sec". It matches the Rfam family "Selenocysteine transfer RNA". The record is from RNAcentral. RNAcentral also lists the same sequence under 1 other name.
GGGAAUGGAUGGGGCACUGGUGGCUUCCCUGGACUUCAAAUCCAGUGGCAGGCCCUAACAAGGUCUGCGGUGGGUUCGAUUCCCACACAUUCCCGCCA